Molecule: ribosomal RNA, 429 nt
Filed under: Verrucomicrobiota bacterium
Lineage: Bacteria; Pseudomonadati; Verrucomicrobiota
Description: Verrucomicrobia bacterium partial 16S ribosomal RNA
Rfam family: Bacterial small subunit ribosomal RNA
Source: RNAcentral
UAGGGAAUCUUCCGCAAUGGACGAAAGUCUGACGGAGCAACGCCGCGUGAGUGAAGAAGGAUUUCGGUUCGUAAAACUCUGUUGUUAGGGAAGAAAAAAUGUAUAGUAACUAUAUACAAAAGAGACGGUACCUAACCAGAAAGCCACGGCUAACUACGUGCCAGCAGCCGCGGUAAUACGUAGGUGGCAAGCGUUGUCCGGAAUUAUUGGGCGUAAAGCGCGCGCAGGUGGUUUAGAAAGUCUGAUGUGAAAGCCCACGGCUCAACCGUGGAGGGUCAUUGGAAACUAAUAAACUUGAGUGCAGGAGAGAAAAGUGGAAUUCCUAGUGUAGCGGUGAAAUGCGUAGAGAUUAGGAGGAACACCGGUGGUGAAAGCGGCUUUUUGGCCUGCAACUGACACUGAGGCGCGAAAGCGUGGGGAGCAAACAGG